Molecule: ribosomal RNA, 247 nt
Filed under: uncultured bacterium
Lineage: Bacteria
Description: partial 16S ribosomal RNA
Rfam family: Bacterial small subunit ribosomal RNA
Source: RNAcentral
GAUCCUGGCUCAGGAUGAACGCUAGCUACAGGCUUAACACAUGCAAGUCGAGGGGCAGCGGGAAGUCAGCUUGCUGACUUUGCCGGCGACCGGCGCACGGGUGAGUAACACGUAUCCAACCUUCCCGUUACUCUGGAAUAGCCUUUCGAAAGAAAGAUUAAUACCGGAUAGUAUCGAGAGCUUGCAUGAUAACCCGAUUAAAGAUUCAUCGGUAACGGAUGGGGAUGCGUUCCAUUAGGCAGUUGGG